GAAAGAUUCAUCGGAAGAGGAUGGGCAUGCGGCGCAUUAGCUUGACGGCGGGGUAACGGCCCACCGUGGCGACGAUGCGUAGGGGUUCUGAGAGGAAGGUCCCCCACACUGGUACUGAGACACGGACCAGACUCCUACGGGAGGCAGCAGUGAGGAAUAUUGGUCAAUGGGAGAGAUCCUGAACCAGCCGAGCCGCGUGAGGGAAGACGGCCCUAUGGGUUGUAAACCUCUUUUGUCGGAGAACAAAACCCGGGACGUGUCCCGGACUGCGUGUAUCCGAAGAAAAAGCAUCGGCUAACUCCGUGCCAGCAGCCGCGGUAAUACGGAGGAUGCGAGCGUUAUCCGGAUUUAUUGGGUUUAAAGGGUGCGUAGGCGGUCCGUUAAGUCAGCGGUAAAAUUGCGGGGCUCAACCCCGUCGAGCCGUUGAAACUGGCAGACUUGAGUUGGCGAGAAGUACGCGGAAUGCGCGGUGUAGCGGUGAAAUGCAUAGAUAUCGCGCAGAACUCCGAUUGCGAAGGCAGCGUACCGGCGCCAGACUGACGCUGAGGCACGAAAGCGUGGGGAUCGAACAGGAUUAGAUACCCUGGUAGUCCACGCAGUAAACGAUGAAUGCUGGUUGUCCGGGUCGAAUGAGACCUGG
Molecule: ribosomal RNA, 640 nt
Filed under: uncultured bacterium
Lineage: Bacteria
Description: bacterial SSU rRNA
Rfam family: Bacterial small subunit ribosomal RNA
Source: RNAcentral